ACUGCUGCUUUUACCGUGACUGCAUCAAAAUGAACAGUUUUCACUUAAAAACGAGUCAUCAUAACACAACAUCACACUUAUGCAAACUCUGGAAUUAAUCUGUGCCUCAGUUCUUAACGUUAGCACCUAUAUUCCAUUCAAGCAUACACUGGAGAUGUUUCAA
Molecule: long non-coding RNA, 163 nt
Organism: Thalassophryne amazonica
Lineage: Eukaryota; Metazoa; Chordata; Actinopteri; Batrachoidiformes; Batrachoididae
Exons: 3
Source: RefSeq, a predicted model, not a curated record